CCCCUCUCAGUAUGGCACCUGGAGAGUUUCUAGUACUCUACCAGACUCGGCUAUGGGAGGGAGAGUCAAGCAGAGGCAUAUCCUUUCCAUUCCUAGCUUGGCCAGUGGCUAGCAAAUAGAAGAUAAUCUGCUACAAGU
This is a small nucleolar RNA of Ornithorhynchus anatinus (platypus), 138 nucleotides long. The record is from RefSeq and is a predicted model, not a curated record. Lineage: Eukaryota; Metazoa; Chordata; Mammalia; Monotremata; Ornithorhynchidae.